Pimephales promelas (fathead minnow) is the source of this 626-nucleotide non-coding RNA. NCBI's taxonomy places the organism in Eukaryota, Metazoa, Chordata, Actinopteri, Cypriniformes, Leuciscidae. The record is from RefSeq and is a predicted model, not a curated record.
UUACUCAAUUUUUGGCGAGGCAAUCGCGACGGCGCGCGCUCAGUGGUGAGGCGAUCUGAACUUACAAGCACAAGAUGUCAGCAACAGCAGCUGAAGUGGAAAAAAGUUCUACACUUCCAGACUCUCUGAGACUGAUUGUCUUAGGUGAAAUUCUCACUGCAACCCAGUGGAUGCUGAGUAUUGAGGGUCAAGUGGUUCUGAAUCAACACCCCAAUUUCAUGGCUGAAUUUGCUGCUUUGUUUGCAACUUACUACAACUUUAAUCUGGUGUACCAGCACGAGGCAUCCUGCACACUUGAAUUUGUUCAAAGAUGUUUACCAAGAACAUCAAUGAAAGUGGAAAGACCUCAGAGAAGAGGAACAACACAGUCAAUCCUCAUGUGUCUACUCUUCUCAUUAGGCUACCCUGUGGACCUUGAGUGGUUAAACAUGUGAGUUGUCAAAUGUAUAUAUGAAACAAAAAACUGAGAUGUCUAUAAUUACACAAAAUGUAAAAAAGUACUUUGAAACAAAAAUAAUAGUAAUAAUAAUAGAAAAGCAGAAAUUUGAGUUUUAACAAGAGAUGCGAGUUAACAAUUUUGCCAUUCUGUUGUUUGAGCUUAAAGGGAUAGUUGAGUUUGAAAUUAA